Molecule: ribosomal RNA, 767 nt
Filed under: bacterium
Lineage: Bacteria
Description: bacterial SSU rRNA
Rfam family: Bacterial small subunit ribosomal RNA
Source: RNAcentral
UCAGGACGAACGCUGGCGGCGUGCUUAACACAUGCAAGUCGAACGAUGAAGCCCUUCGGGGUGGAUUAGUGGCGAACGGGUGAGUAACACGUGGGCAAUCUGCCCUUCACUCUGGGACAAGCCCUGGAAACGGGGUCUAAUACCGGAUACGACACGAGAUUGCAUGAUCUUCGUGUGGAAAGCUCCGGCGGUGAAGGAUGAGCCCGCGGCCUAUCAGCUUGUUGGUGGGGUAAUGGCCUACCAAGGCGACGACGGGUAGCCGGCCUGAGAGGGCGACCGGCCACACUGGGACUGAGACACGGCCCAGACUCCUACGGGAGGCAGCAGUGGGGAAUAUUGCACAAUGGGCGAAAGCCUGAUGCAGCGACGCCGCGUGAGGGAUGACGGCCUUCGGGUUGUAAACCUCUUUCAGCAGGGAAGAAGCGAAAGUGACGGUACCUGCAGAAGAAGCGCCGGCUAACUACGUGCCAGCAGCCGCGGUAAUACGUAGGGCGCAAGCGUUGUCCGGAAUUAUUGGGCGUAAAGAGCUCGUAGGCGGCCAGUCGCGUCGGGUGUGAAAGACCGGGGCUUAACCCCGGUUCUGCAUUCGAUACGGGCUGGCUAGAGUGUGGUAGGGGAGAUCGGAAUUCCUGGUGUAGCGGUGAAAUGCGCAGAUAUCAGGAGGAACACCGGUGGCGAAGGCGGAUCUCUGGGCCAUUACUGACGCUGAGGAGCGAAAGCGUGGGGAGCGAACAGGAUUAGAUACCCUGGUAGUCCACGCCGUAAAC